GAAAAGGAGAGAAAGAGGAAACGUAAGCGAUCGGAGGAGGGUUAUUUUAAUUUCGGUCCAUAUUUUGUUCUUUAUUUUAUUUUUUUCAGUUGGUUGGUUGUUUUUUUGCCUGCUUUCAGCCAGGAUCCGUCUUCGAAGCUGUGUCUCGCUAUAGCUGGACGAUGAUAGCGAUUUUAUAUGAUUGUUUAUUUGUUUGUUCACUCGCUUUGAUUGUUUUUGCAGGUCUUUGAUCUUUAUCUACGAGGGAAGCUAUUUUGGACCUAGGUGAAUGAGGGCGGUGACUCGGCUAUGGCUUUCAGGGAGAGUUCCGUUUGAUUUGAUGCUGGCAACACGGAAUUGCAUCCCCACGUCCAAUGAUUCACUCUCUGAGAAGGUUGAUGAUCGGUCGAAUGCUCUAUGAUAUCUCUUUUUUGUAUGGUUUGGUUCUUGAUUGAGCUGCUGUGCUUUUCUGUUCUACUUUGGUUGAUGCAUGCAUGCUUGUUACUGUUUGAUCUCUGAUUAGGUGGUCCCGGUGGCAGAGUUGUGAAGUGCUCUGUAGUGUGCAUGUGAUGGGUUUUUGCCGGCGGAUUCAAUUGUGCAUAUGAGUUCUGAAUUUGAGUUUUCCGAUCUUUGAUGGACUGGGUUUUAGUUUGUUUUUUGUUGAUGGAUUGUUAUUGUUGAGUUGUGUCUUCGGAUGUAUUUUUCUUAAAGCCAUCUUUAUAUUAUUCACUUGGCCAUAAAAAUAGAGAUAAAAUUAAUGUUUAAUAUGAA
This 750-nucleotide long non-coding RNA is filed under the name Manihot esculenta (cassava). RNAcentral's name for it is "long non-coding RNA (MESC_LNC005677)". Lineage: Eukaryota; Viridiplantae; Streptophyta; Magnoliopsida; Malpighiales; Euphorbiaceae. The record is from RNAcentral.